This 254-nucleotide long non-coding RNA is filed under the name Lactuca sativa (garden lettuce). RNAcentral's name for it is "long non-coding RNA (LSAT_LNC009339)". Lineage: Eukaryota; Viridiplantae; Streptophyta; Magnoliopsida; Asterales; Asteraceae. The record is from RNAcentral.
CCCCGUUAAAUUGGUCCAACCUUUGGUUGAAGAACAAGAAAGCUCUUGAUCAUGUCUCUUCAACUAUCCGCCGUCGCUCGUUCUACAGAAAACCCCCACCCCCACCCACUCCUCAAUCACCACCACCGCCACAGCAACCACCACCACCGCCACAACAACUACCACCGGAAGUGACCGUUGUUCCUCUUUCUCCCCAUUUUCAGCAAACCCAUUACAACGAAACCCUACUUCCUGAUUCUCCCGAAGUAGUCCCC